GAUGAACGCUAGCUACAGGCUUAACACAUGCAAGUCGAGGGGCAGCAUGAAGGAAGCUUGCUUCCUUUGAUGGCGACCGGCGCACGGGUGAGUAACGCGUAUCCAACCUUCCCUUAACUUGGGAAUAGCCCGGUGAAAACCGGAUUAAUGCCCGAUGUGGUCCAGCGAGGGCAUCUGACCCGGACCAAAGAAUUUGUCGGUUAAGGAUGGGGAUGCGUCUGAUUAGCUUGUUGGCGGGGUAACGGCCCACCGAGCCGACGAUCCUUAGGGGUUCUGAGAGGAAGGUCCCCCACACUGGUACUGAGACACGGACCAGACUCC
Molecule: ribosomal RNA, 321 nt
Filed under: uncultured Prevotella sp.
Lineage: Bacteria; Pseudomonadati; Bacteroidota; Bacteroidia; Bacteroidales; Prevotellaceae
Description: bacterial SSU rRNA
Rfam family: Bacterial small subunit ribosomal RNA
Source: RNAcentral